RNAcentral lists this ribosomal RNA (468 nucleotides) under uncultured bacterium. RNAcentral describes it as "partial 16S ribosomal RNA". It matches the Rfam family "Bacterial small subunit ribosomal RNA", at positions 28 to 507 of the family's 1533-position model. The record is from RNAcentral.
GACGAACGCUGGCGGCGUGCUUAACACAUGCAAGUCGAACGGAAAGGCCCUGCUUUUGUGGGGUGCUCGAGUGGCGAACGGGUGAGUAACACGUGAGUAACCUGCCCUUGACUUUGGGAUAACUUCAGGAAACUGGGGCUAAUACCGGAUAGGAGCUCCUGCUGCAUGGUGGGGGUUGGAAAGUUUCGGCGGUUGGGGAUGGACUCGCGGCUUAUCAGCUUGUUGGUGGGGUAGUGGCUUACCAAGGCUUUGACGGGUAGCCGGCCGGAGAGGGUGACCGGCCACAUUGGGACUGAGAUACGGCCCAGACUCCUACGGGAGGCAGCAGUGGAGAAUAUUGCACAAUGGGCGGAAGCCUGAUGCAGCAACGCCGCGUGCGGGAUGACGGCCUUCGGGUUGUAAACCGCUUUCGCCUGUGACGAAGCGUGAGUGACGGUAAUGGGUAAAGAAGCACCGGCUAACUACGUG